UACGUAGGGCGCAAGCGUUAUCCGGAAUUAUUGGGCGUAAAGAGCUCGUAGGCGGUUUGUCGCGUCGACUGUGAAAACUGGGGGCUUAACUCUCAGCUUGCAGUUGAUACGGGCAGACUUGAGUUCGGUAGGGGAGACUGGAAUUCCUGGUGUAGCGGUGAAAUGCGCAGAUACCAGGAGGAACACCGGUGGCGAAGGCGGGACUCUGGGCCGAUACUGACGCUGAGGAGCGAAAGCGUGGGGAGCAAACAGG
RNAcentral lists this ribosomal RNA (253 nucleotides) under uncultured bacterium. Its description in RNAcentral is "partial 16S ribosomal RNA". It matches the Rfam family "Bacterial small subunit ribosomal RNA", at positions 524 to 776 of the family's 1533-position model. The record is from RNAcentral.